Long non-coding RNA from Bos taurus (domestic cattle), 1562 nucleotides. The record is from Ensembl. NCBI's taxonomy places the organism in Eukaryota, Metazoa, Chordata, Mammalia, Artiodactyla, Bovidae.
CCCUAUGGACUGUAGCCCCCCAGACUCCUCUGUCCAUGGGAUUCUCCAGGCAAGGAUCCUGAAGUGGGUUUCCAUGCCCUCCUCCAGGGAACUAAGACCAUCUUACAAGCCUGGAAGUGCAGCCAAAUAAAGAAAUAAUGCUUCUAAAGAAUGUUUUAUAAUUAUUAUAUAAAUAAUAAUAAUCAAUCAGCUGAAUGACCGACCUCAGGCUAUCUAAGGGAAAAGCAGAAACCAGUGGAAGGAAGUCACGCUGAUGAUCUAUUUCUAAACACCUCCCCGUUGGUGACUCAGCACAGACAUCUCUUCAGCAAGCCCCAACUCCAUGGGCUAGCACAGGGAGUGGGCUUCUCCUGUUGUGACUCAGAAGUUUCAGCAUGAGGACUUACUGCUCCAAGGCAUGGGGGAAUCUUAGUUCCCAACCAGGGAUCAAACCCAGGUCUCCUGCAUUGGAAGAUGGGUUCUUAACAGUGGACCACCAGGGAAGUCCCUCUGCAGAUGGCGCUUUUCCUGAAGGUCCAACUGCCACGCUUUCCCCUGACUGCCUGGGGCAGUGCCUGGACCAGAGGAAGGCCGCUGUAUUCGCGCAAUGAAUGGUCAUACAGAAAAAGUCAGCUUCAAAAAUAUGGCUCUUUACCUUCUGCCCACUAGGACGGCUAUAAUUUAAAAGAAAUACACAGGAGGACCUCCCUGGUGGCCCAGUGGUUUAGACUUCGUUUAAACCACCACUUAAACAACCAAUGAAACGGGCGCAGGUUCAAUCCUGGGUCAGGGAGUUAAGCUCCUACAUGCCCUGUGGCCAAAAAACUCAAAGAUAAAACAGAAGCAGUAUUAUAACAAAUUCAAUAAAGAAUCAAAAAAGGUUUUAAAUAAAACCAAAAAAUAACAGAAAAUAACAAGUGUUGGUGAGGAUGUGGCGAAAUUGGACCCUCCUACUUUGCCAGUGGGAACGUGAAAUGGUGCAGCCACUGUGGAAGAUGGUACUUUCACAGAGUGAUCAUAUGACCCAGCAAUUCUACUCCGAAGUAUAAACCUCAGAGAAUCAAAAACAUGGCCACACAAAAAUGUGACUGUUCAUGGCCGCACUGUCCGAAGUAGGCAAAAUGUGAAAAUAACCCAAGCAUUCAGCGGUGGACGGAUGGACAAACAGAAUAAACAGAAUGGGUUCCGUCCAUACAAUGGAAUAUUAUUCAGCCAUAAAAAGGAAUGAAGCACUGAUAUAGGCACACAUAGACAUAGACAUUGGAGAAGGAAAUGGCAGCCUGCUCCAGUGUUCUUGCCUGGAGAAUCCCGGGGACGGGGGAGCCUGGUGGGCUGCCGUCUAUGGGGUCGCACAGAGUCGGACGCGACUGAAGUGACUUAGCAGCAGCAGCAACAGAAGUAGACAUGGAUGAACGGUGAAAACAUGAUGCUGAGUGAAAGAAGUCAGUCAGAAAAGGCCACAAUGUCUACAAUUCCAUGGAUAUGAAGUGCCCAGAACAGGCGGAUUUACAGAGACAGAAAGCAGACUAGUGGUUGCCAGGGUCUGAGGGAGGUGGGGGAAUGGAGGGUGACAGUUAAUGGGG